This 460-nucleotide ribosomal RNA is filed under the name uncultured bacterium. RNAcentral describes it as "partial 16S ribosomal RNA". It matches the Rfam family "Bacterial small subunit ribosomal RNA", at positions 338 to 795 of the family's 1533-position model. The record is from RNAcentral.
CCUACGGGUGGCUGCAGUGAGGAAUAUUGGUCAAUGGGCGAGAGCCUGAACCAGCCAAGUCGCGUGAAGGAUGACGGCCCUACGGGUUGUAAACUUCUUUUGUCAGGGAGCAAUUGAGCCCACGUGUGGUCUUAGCGAGAGUACCUGAAGAAAAAGCAUCGGCUAACUCCGUGCCAGCAGCCGCGGUAAUACGGAGGAUGCGAGCGUUAUCCGGAUUUAUUGGGUUUAAAGGGUGCGUAGGCGGAACAUUAAGUCAGCGGUAAAAUCGAGGGGCUCAACCCCUUUAAGCCGUUGAAACUGGUGAUCUUGAGUGGGCGAGAAGUAUGCGGAAUGCGUGGUGUAGCGGUGAAAUGCAUAGAUAUCACGCAGAACUCCGAUUGCGAAGGCAGCAUACCGGCGCCCGACUGACGCUGAGGCACGAAAGCGUGGGGAUCGAACAGGAUUAGAUACCCUAGUAGUC